This 1023-nucleotide long non-coding RNA is filed under the name Capra hircus (goat). Its description in RNAcentral is "lncRNA (ENSCHIG00010000036.1)". The record is from RNAcentral. Lineage: Eukaryota; Metazoa; Chordata; Mammalia; Artiodactyla; Bovidae.
CUUCACAUUUUUCUUUCUUGCAGGUUUGAAAUACUGUCUCCUCCCCACUCACUGCCUUUGCCAUAAGUAACUGUCUUCCCGGAGCCACCUGAGAGACGCUCCUGUCUGGGGAGUCCUGGCCUGACCGGGAUGUAAUUUGUUAAGGAGUAUUUAAACACAACAGAGUCCCAGAGUAAAUGGGCACUGUGCUGCCCAAGGAGGUGAUUUAAUUAUUAGGAUCAUUCUUCAGGCCAUUCUUAAUCUCAGGCCUGCCUCUCUUAUCCGCACAUCUUAUGACAGGACACAGCGUAAAUAUCAGAAUCAAUAAAUUACAAGUUUGCAAGGACGCAGGCCAAACAACAGUAACCUGGUUACUGGGCACCAAAGCCAGCUUCUCCUUAGAAACCUCAACCCUGGAGUAGGAAGUCAGGGUAGUGGGAUGUAUUCUUGUUAUAGGGCACAAGCCGUUCUGAAAUUAAAAGAAUGGAGGUUGGUCUUAAAAUCUGGGAUCCAGUUAUGGGGACAACUCCCCAUCCAAGAGAGGGGCUCCAAGGCCCAGAGCACGUGUAGCCCCCAUGGGAGGCUGGGGGCCUCCACCUAGCAUCAGACCAACAAGGAAGCAGUUGGAACCAAUGGAGACGUUCCCAGUACACAACCAAGCAGAGCAGGUGUGUUGAGGAGGCUCCACCCGGGGCCUCUCUGAGCCGCCUGUCCUCGCUGUUUCUCAUCAGAUGCUGGGUAAGUGGCACCCAGCCCUGUGGCCUCUCCUGGCGCCAUUCUCACCAGGGCUACCAGGCCCCACCUCCAAGUUCCUGGCAGCCUUGGAUCUCCUUGCAGUUUACACUAGCCACUGACGGGAGCUCCCUGAGUCCUCUGCGUGAUUUUGCAGUCAACCUCCACCCCAGACACUGCUGUGAACAUUGUGUUCUGGGGGCACACGGGCCAGCAUCUCCCGAUCUCCCUUCACUUGGCUCUGAUCUCUCCCUGUCCUCAGGGCUCCAGACUUCCUCUGCUGUGUUUGGCCUGGAGCAUUCCCAGGCUUAA